This 909-nucleotide ribosomal RNA is filed under the name uncultured bacterium. Its description in RNAcentral is "bacterial SSU rRNA". It matches the Rfam family "Bacterial small subunit ribosomal RNA", at positions 33 to 917 of the family's 1533-position model. The record is from RNAcentral.
ACGCUGGCGGCGUGCCUAAUACAUGCAAGUAGAACGCACAGGAUGCACCGUAGUUUACUACACCGUAUUCUGUGAGUUGCGAACGGGUGAGUAACGCGUAGGUAACCUGCCUGGUAGCGGGGGAUAACUAUUGGAAACGAUAGCUAAUACCGCAUAAGAACAUUUACUGCAUGGUAGAUGUCUAAAAGGUGCAAGAGCAUCACUACCAGAUGGACCUGCGUUGUAUUAGCUAGUUGGUGAGGUAACGGCUCACCAAGGCAACGAUACAUAGCCGACCUGAGAGGGUGAUCGGCCACACUGGGACUGAGACACGCCCAGACUCCUACGGGAGGCAGCAGUAGGGAAUCUUCGGCAAUGGGGGGAACCCUGACCGAGCAACGCCGCGUGAGUGAAGAAGGUUUUCGGAUCGUAAAGCUCUGUUGUUAAGGAAGAACGUGUGUGAGAGUGGAAAGUUCACACAGUGACGGUACUUAACCAGAAAGGGACGGCUAACUACGUGCCAGCAGCCGCGGUAAUACGUAGGUCCCGAGCGUUGUCCGGAUUUAUUGGGCGUAAAGCGAGCGCAGGCGGUUAGAUAAGUCUGAAGUGAAAGGCAGUGGCUCAACCAUUGUAGGCUUUGGAAACUGUUUAACUUGAGUGCAGAAGGGGAGAGUGGAAUUCCAUGUGUAGCGGUGAAAUGCGUAGAUAUAUGGAGGAACACCGGUGGCGAAAGCGGCUCUCUGGUCUGUAACUGACGCUGAGGCUCGAAAGCGUGGGGAGCGAACAGGAUUAGAUACCCUGGUAGUCCACGCCGUAAACGAUGAGUGCUAGGUGUUAGGUCCUUUCCGGGACUUAGUGCCGCAGCUAACGCAUUAAGCACUCCGCCUGGGGAGUACGACCGCAAGGUUGAAACUCAAAGGAAUUGACGGG